Molecule: transfer RNA, 74 nt
Filed under: Candidatus Omnitrophota bacterium
Lineage: Bacteria; Pseudomonadati; Candidatus Omnitrophota
Description: Candidatus Omnitrophica bacterium (groundwater metagenome) tRNA-Lys
Rfam family: tRNA
About the family: Transfer RNA (tRNA) molecules are approximately 80 nucleotides in length. Their secondary structure includes four short double-helical elements and three loops (D, anti-codon, and T loops).
Source: RNAcentral
GAGCCCGUAGCUCAGCCUGGUAGAGCACGUCCCUUUUAAGGACGGUGUCGAUGGUUCGAAUCCAUCCGGGCUCA